This 253-nucleotide ribosomal RNA is filed under the name uncultured bacterium. Its description in RNAcentral is "partial 16S ribosomal RNA". It matches the Rfam family "Bacterial small subunit ribosomal RNA", at positions 524 to 776 of the family's 1533-position model. The record is from RNAcentral.
UACGUAGGGUGCAAGCGUUGUCCGGAAUUAUUGGGCGUAAAGAGCGUGUAGGCGGCCUCGUAAGUCCGCUGUGAAAGUCCAGGGCUCAACCCUGGAAAGCGGAUGGAUACUGCCGGGCUAGAAUCCGGAAGAGGCGAGUGGAAUUCCUGGUGUAGCGGUGGAAUGCGCAGAUAUCAGGAGGAACACCAAUAGCGAAGGCAGCUCGCUGGGACGGUAUUGACGCUAAGGCGCGAAAGCGUGGGGAGCAAACAGG